AGCCCCACAAAGUGGUGGGAUUACAGGUGUGAGCCACCGCGCCCGGCAGGAAUGCCUUUUAAGCUUCUUAUCUCACCCUGUUAACCAGAGAGCCAAGGCAUCGAGACACAGUGGGAAGCGUUCCAAGCUCACCACAAGACCCACAUUUGAAAGCAGCUUGGCCAGUCCCCUUCAACUCUUCAGUACUUCAAUUUCCUCAUCCCUCAGCAGGCGACCCGUUCCAGAAUGACCCCUUUGCAGAACAGCAGACAACUUCAACAGAUCCAUUUGGAGGGGACCCUUUCAAAGAAAGUGACCCAUUCCGUGGCUCUGCCACCGACGACUUCUUCAAGAAACAGACAAAGAAUGACCCAUUUACCUCGGACCCAUUCACGAAAAACCCUUCCUUACCUUCGAAGGUGAGUGGGGUGGGACGUUGCCUGGGAGAGCCGCACGCCUGCUCUGUGUGUGUGAGGGUGGCACUUCCCGAAGCCCUCCUUCCCUUCGUGGAGUGUACGUGGUGCCUGCGAGUACGGGCCUUGGUGCCUGUUCUCUGGGAGCUGGUAUCCCAGGCUGAUUGCAUUCCUGCUGAAUGAGGGAGCUGUCUGGCCUAGUCACUGCAGUGACUCGCCUGUGAGCCCCAAGGUUCAGUCAGCUGUCCAGUGGCCCCACGUCAGGGCAAGGAGGAUGUCACCCACAGUUCUUAUUCCUCUAUCCCCAUCCCCACCCCGCAACUCUAGUCAUCUGCCUCCACUGCCCCUUCAUCUCCCAAAAAAGACUAAAUCAUACAAGCACCACAUACUCGCACGGACCCGGCCACCCCACACAGUCCUUGUAACACACAGCACUGGUGGGGACCUUAGAGUCACCUUGGUGGUGCCCCUGUCACGGCAGGAGUAAGUGCAGGCGUCUCAGCCUGACUGCCUUGCCUGGUGUUGUCUCCUGAGAGCAUCAGCCAACUCUGACCCUCCAGUUUCCAACUCCAGCACACCUGUGCUUCCAUCCCCAGGCGUGGCAGACACCGGGCGUUUUGCACAUUAUGCCUAAGAGAUUGGGUUAAAUAGCUGUCAACUUGGAUUUUAAAACAAAACAAAAAAAAGCAGUCUCUGGUGAUGGAGGAGAGGAUUUUAAUGAUGGAGUGAGCUUGCUUCAUAGCCUUUUUCCGUUUUCUAGGCUGCAACCCAGGCCCAGGGCCUGCUCAGAGAUGAGCACUUAUCCCUCCUCCUCAGGGCUCCUGCUGCCCUGGUCCCCACCUCCCUCACUCCCUGUGGACCUUUUGGUCUUUAGCGUUUGGAGCUCUUUGAAGGCAACGAUUCAUUUGCAGUGUUUUCUUAUUGGCCCCUUUUUAACGUCCUUAAGACCUGUAGCAUUCCUGGUAUAGGUGAUCUGUUUACCAGUUUCAUUGACCUUCUCCAUACCUUUUCCAUAACCAACUUUUGGCUUCAUUUUUCUCUACUGCUUGUUUUCUAUUUCAUUGAUUUUCUCUUUUCUAUUUCUGUUUUUUCCAUUUCCUUACUCCUGUUUAUUUGGGGUUUACCUUGCUCUUCUAAUGUCUUAAGCUCCAACCUUCAUUCAUUGAUUUUAGACUUCAUUUUCUAGUACAGGCGGUCCCUGAGUUACGAUGGUUCAACUUACAGUUUUUUGAUUUUACAGUAGUUUUAUUGAGAUGCAGUCCCAUCAUAAGUCGAGGAGUGUCUGGAUUUAUGUUGGUUCAACUUCUGAUUUUUUGCUUUAUGAUGGAUUUAUUGGGAUAUUAAGUACAUUUUUGAUUUAAGAUAUUUUCAACUUACAAUAGGUUUAUCAGGACGUAACCCCAUGGUAAGUCAAGGAGCGUCUGUAUAAAUUUAAAGCAACGUAUUUCCCGCAAGCACUACUUUACCUGUAUUUCAUAUAUUUGAGUACUUUGUCUCUUCAUUGCCAUUCAGUUUUGAGAUGUUUCCCAGUUUCCCUUGUGAAUUCUGUUUACCCAUGGAUUACUUAAAAGUGUGUUGUUUCAUUUCCAGAUACUUGGCUUCUUCUCCUAGGUCUAUUAUAAUACUAUUAUUAUUGAUUUUUAAUUCAGUUUGUUAUUAGAGAACAUUUUCUGUAUGUUUUCAAUACCUUCACAUUUAUCAAGGGUUGCUGUUUAUGGCCUAUGUUGGUGAACAAACCAUGUACACUUGAGAAGAAUGUGUCUCUAGUUGUUGGGUGUAAUGUUCUACAAAUGGCAGCGAGGUUGAGCUUCCUGAUAGUGUUCAGAUUAUGUGUGUCUUCAUUGUUUGUUCCUUUUUUAGUUCUACCAAUGGCUGAGAGAGAGGUGUUAAACGUUCUCCUAUGAUUGUGGAAUUGUUCAUACUGCACUUUAAUUUGAUCAAGUUUUGCUUUGUGUAUUUUGAAGCUCUGUCAGGUGCAUAGAUGUUUAUGAUUGUUGUGUCUUCCUGACACAACAACCUUUUUAUCAUUAUAAAAGGUUCCCAUUUGAUCUCUGGUGAUGUUCUUUGUCUUGAAGUCUGUUUUAUCACUUCAUUCUCCUCAUGUUAUUCACUAUAUGAUACAUCAUUUUUCAGCCAUUUACUUUCAACUUACCUGGGUCUUUAAAACUGAUAGAUGUCUUUUGUAACUAGUGUAGUGUUGCGACUUGCUUUUUUUUUUAUCCAGUCAGAAGUCCCUGCCUUGUAAAUGGAAUGUUUAGUCCAUUAACAUUUAAUGUAAUUAUUGAUAUGGUUUAAGUCUACUAUUUUAUUAUUUGCUUCCUUUUUAUCCCAUGUUUUGU
Cercocebus atys (sooty mangabey) is the source of this 2731-nucleotide long non-coding RNA. RefSeq lists it as uncharacterized. The transcript has 3 exons. Lineage: Eukaryota; Metazoa; Chordata; Mammalia; Primates; Cercopithecidae. The record is from RefSeq and is a predicted model, not a curated record.